AUGAACGCUGGCGGCGUGCCUAAUACAUGCAAGUCGAGCGAACGGACGAGAAGCUUGCUUCUCUGAUGUUAGCGGCGGACGGGUGAGUAACACGUGGAUAACCUACCUAUAAGACUGGGAUAACUUCGGGAAACCGGAGCUAAUACCGGAUAAUAUUUUGAACCGCAUGGUUCAAAAGUGAAAGACGGUCUUGCUGUCACUUAUAGAUGGAUCCGCGCUGCAUUAGCUAGUUGGUAAGGUAACGGCUUACCAAGGCAACGAUGCAUAGCCGACCUGAGAGGGUGAUCGGCCACACUGCGACUGAGACACGGUCCAGACUCCUACGGGAGGCAGCAGUCGGGAAUCUUCCGCAAUGGGCGAAAGCCUGACGGAGCAACGCCGCGUGAGUAAUGAAGGUCUUCGGAUCGUACAACUCUGUUAUUAGUGAAGAACAUAUGUGUAAGUAACUGUGCACGUCUUGACGGUACCUAAUCAGAAAGCCACGGCUAACUACGUG
This 496-nucleotide ribosomal RNA is filed under the name uncultured bacterium. RNAcentral's name for it is "partial 16S ribosomal RNA". It matches the Rfam family "Bacterial small subunit ribosomal RNA", at positions 29 to 507 of the family's 1533-position model. The record is from RNAcentral.